Dryobates pubescens (Downy woodpecker) is the source of this 465-nucleotide long non-coding RNA. RefSeq lists it as uncharacterized. The record is from RefSeq and is a predicted model, not a curated record. The transcript is spliced from 3 exons. NCBI's taxonomy places the organism in Eukaryota, Metazoa, Chordata, Aves, Piciformes, Picidae.
GAGAUUCACGAAAGCUGGCUUCACUGGUCAGAAUUUCUCCAGGAAGAAGACCUGAAGGACAGCAAGAGAUACCACUACAGAGUUUGCUGGAGUGUGCCAACACGCCGAAAACCUAUCCCCCGAGCAACAGCAAAUGUCUACUUUGUGAUAGAGAUCUCCAAAAUCAAACCUGCGACCUCGCCUGUGGAGGUAUUCUUCACUCUGGAGGCCAGCAAGCUGAUUCACAGGCCAGACCAGUGUCGGUUUAGAGAAAAGUGGCUUAAGGACAUCAUUGAAAAUAAAACAAUCCUCAUGGAAACACUUAAAUUCUAAUGAACACAGUGAAGAAGAGUGGCUCUUCCCUGUCAGCAUUUCUACUUUGUGGAUACAUAAACAACAUUAAAUCUAUGCAAAGUUAAUUAUGCCUGACCCUUUCAGGUAUGGGUGGGUACAGCAGGACAGAGCCAGAUACCAGAAUGUAAGCAG